Gopherus evgoodei (Goodes thornscrub tortoise) is the source of this 2752-nucleotide long non-coding RNA. RefSeq lists it as uncharacterized. The record is from RefSeq and is a predicted model, not a curated record. NCBI's taxonomy places the organism in Eukaryota, Metazoa, Chordata, Testudines, Testudinidae. The transcript has 5 exons.
GAGCUAUCCCUCCUCCCUGAGAAGAGAGAGACAGUAGUAUUAAGAAUAUCUGUGUGUGUUGAUUUUACUGUUUAAUAUUAUAAUAAAAUGCUACAGUGCCCUUGUUUUUUCAUUGAAAAAGGAAAAUUUAUUUUAAUGAAGUUUUAGUCAAAAGCAUCCCAGUUGUGCAGAGAAUUUAAUUUUCACCUCAGACCACAAAAAGGAAUGUUUGGGGGGGGUGCCUAAAUUCCUUAAGUAUCUAUUAAUUAAGACUUUUAGUGAUCAAAUCAACUUGCUAAUUACAGACAUUGAAGUUUGUUUGAAACAAAGAGGUAGGAUGAUAUAAUCCCCCUCCUUCUGGUGGGGAGAGGGAAGACUGUCCUCUUAUAACAGAAACUAUCUUGAACAAAAUAGCUGCUGCUGGACUGCAAGAUGAGGUAUGUUGCUUGUUUUUAACUCUGAAAAUAUAUCUUAUAAAACGUUACUCUUUGUCCAUGUUGUCCUUACUAAUACUGAUACCUGUCCUUAUUGCAGUGUGAUCUGUUUAGCAUGGAAAUAGCAACCUCAAGCUGUAUUUCACCAGGGCAAGUCCCAAAUACACAUGGGGCGAAAACAGAAUAACCAUGUGCAGCACCCCUUUACUCUAUGAUGGAAGUAUGGUCAAAGCAUGAGAGAUCGUUAGACCAAAGGGUAAACAAGAUCAAAAGAAAGAGACAGCUGAAAAGGAAAAUUCACCAGCAUCAAGAGCUGACAGAUGGAAGAAGCCAGCCUGGGCAACUCACUUGAUGAUGCCAUAGUUAGAGCUACAGGGACAUCUCCAGUGGAACCACCAAAGAACCAGGAAUCUUCUCUGAGACCUUUAACAAUGAAGAGUGCAGACUUAGCAUCCAAAGCUCAGAUACGUCAAACCCAAGGACAAAACAAAAGUCUCUGCUGUUUCACCGGUUAUCAUGAAAAAGCACAGAAUCCUAGGAUGGGGACAACUUUCAGGUUUCUUUAUUACAAGAUGCAACUCAAGACCAACUGUCUGAAAAGACUAGGGUAUGUAGUUAGGACCCUCUGAGAGCAUGAGUAGGAGACAAUAGUAGAAACAGACAGGAAGCCUGCAGAUUUCUUAAACAAAGCACAGUUGCCUCAGUCUUGGUGCCUAGUGAUGCUCUUUUUGCAGGGAGGACUAACAUUAUCCACCUAUAUUACAAACCUAAGCCCAGUGAAGAAAUCCACUAUUACGAUUUUACCAGCCUGUACCCUUUCGUAAACAAAAAUCAAGGAAGACCCAAUUGGACACCCCAAUACAGUUCAUGACAAAUUUGGACCCCUCACAAAUUAUUUUGGAUUUGCGAAAGUUAAAGGGUAUCCCAUGAGGCCUCUUUCUCCAAUGUUAUCUGUCAGAGCGGGUGGCAAACUUGUGUUCCCGCUCUGCCAAACUUCUGCCGAAACCGAGCAGCAGGAGAUGUGCGCCCAUACUGAUGAGGAGAGAGUAAUCCUGGGGACUUGGUGCACAGUGGAAUUGAACAUGGCUGUAGCAAAGGCAUAUGCGAUGGCAAAAAUCUACAAAAUCUGGAAUUUUGAAGAAAAGCUUGACAAACUCUUUUCAGAGUACAUAAAAUUACACCUCCAUCAGAAACAAGAGGCUUCAGAGUAUCCCAGCUGGUGCACGGAUGAAGAAAAACAAAAUAAGUAUGUUAAUGAUUUCUACUGGAAAGAAGGUGUGCAUUUACGCCAGCAUGAGAUCUCGGUGAACCCCGCUAAGCACCAAAUCACUAAACUGUUUUUAAAUGCUCUCUGGGGUAAAUUCGGCCAAAGAACAAAGCUACCCAAUACUAGCAUUGAGAGACACUGACGAACUCUUUCAGUCCCUGUUUUUCCCCCCCAAUUAUGAGGUUUCAUCCUGCAGGUUUGUCAAUGAUGAAACAGCGUGCGUGUGUUGGAAGCACGCGAAAGACCGGUACUCUGUUUCUGGCAAUACCAAUGUCUUCGUAGCCUGUUUCAUCACCGCUUACUUAGAACUAUACAACCUGCUAGACAGGCUGCAAGAGUGGUGCCUGUACCAUGACACUAACUCAGUGAUAUUCAAGAAGAGGGAGAGUGACUGAAACCCCUCUCGGGGGGAUUAUUUAGGGGACCUCAAAUGUGAGAUCCCGCCAGAUCAACACCUCACCGAGUUUGCGUUAGACGGUUCAAAAAUGUUCUGGUACAAGCUAUCGGGAGGAAAAGCCUAUAUGAAAGUCAAAGGGAUUAGCCUGAACAUAGCAAACUGGGAAAAGAUUAACUUUGACAGUUUGAAAGAUCCAGUCCUGGACUAUAGAACAGACCUGAGAGAGAACACCCCAAAAACAAUAGAGGUGCAAACAUAAGGACCAGACAUCAGCGGCAAAUACAGACAAAGACCCUUAAGAAAACACAAAGUUGUUUACAACAAGAGGGGCCUUUAAAGAAGCCCUAUGGCUUUUGAAAAUGGAUACAUAGUGGAAAUACCUCUUUUCUGUAAUUCUCAAAGGGCCUAGAAACUGUGGAAAAAAGUUACUUUAUAAGAAAUGUGUUGUCAGUUAUGCCCGAGAACAUUAUGUGCUGUUACAGUUGCUGGCAACCUCUGUAUAAAAGCUGCUUGGUAAAUAUCCCUUUAUUAAUUUUGUGGGGGGCUGCCUUGAAGAUUUUGACUAUGACUGGCUAUUUCCUACCCAUACAAAUAAAUGUGAUUAUUGUAGAUGUUCUGAUGAACUCUGCUUGUGAAAGCAAUAAAAUUGAGAAAGCCUUUACCAAGUACGUGCAC